This 1292-nucleotide ribosomal RNA is filed under the name metagenome. Its description in RNAcentral is "bacterial LSU rRNA". It matches the Rfam family "Bacterial large subunit ribosomal RNA", at positions 1623 to 2925 of the family's 2925-position model. The record is from RNAcentral.
CACGUUAAGUCAAUGUCACCUGUACCCGAAACCGACACAGGUAGGGAGGUUGAGAAUACCAAGGGGCGCGAGAUAACUCUCUCUAAGGAACUCGGCAAAAUGGCCCCGUAACUUCGGGAGAAGGGGUGCCCACCUAAGACGUGGGUCGCAGUGAAGAGAUCCAGGCGACUGUUUACCAAAAACACAGGUCUCCGCUAAGUCAAAUGACGACGUAUGGGGGCUGACGCCUGCCCAGUGCCGGAAGGUUAAGGAAGUUGGUCAGGGAGCAAUCCUAAAGCUGACGACUGAAGCCCCGGUGAGCGGCGGCCGUAACUAUAACGGUCCUAAGGUAGCGAAAUUCCUUGUCGGGUAAGUUCCGACCCGCACGAAAGGCGUAACGAUCUGGAUGGUGUCUCAGAGAGAGACUCGGCGAAAUAGGAAUGUCUGUGAAGAUACGGACUGCCUGCACCUGGACAGAAAGACCCUAUGAAGCUUUACUGUAGCCUGUAAUUGAAUCCGGGCUGAGCUUGCGCAGGAUAGGUGGGAGGCGUUGAUAUUGUCCUUGUGGGGGCAAAGGAGCCAACGGUGAGAUACCACUCUGGCGCAGCUAGGAUUCUAACUUGGAGCCGUUAGCCGGCACAAGAACCGUUGCAGGUGGGCAGUUUGACUGGGGCGGUCGCCUCCUAAAUGGUAACGGAGGCGCGCAAAGGUUCCCUCAGCACGCUUGGAAACCGUGCAUAGAGUGUAAAGGCAAAAGGGAGCUUGACUGCAAGAGUCACAACUCAAGCAGGGACGAAAGUCGGCCUUAGUGACCCGACGGCACUGAGUGGAAGGGCCGUCGCUCAACGGAUAAAAGUUACUCUAGGAUAACAGGCUGAUCUCCCCCAAGAGUUCACAUCGACGGGGAGGUUUGGCACCUCGAUGUCGGCUCAUCGCAACCUGGGGCGGAAGUACGUCCCAAGGGUUGGGCUGUUCGCCCAUUAGAGCGGUACGUGAGCUGGGUUCAGAACGUCGUGAGACAGUUCGGUCCAUAUCCGGUGCAGGCGUAAGAGCAUUGAGAGGAGCCCUCCUUAGUACGAGAGGACCGGGAGGGACGCACCGCUGGUGUACCAGUUAUCGUGCCAGCGGUAAACGCUGGGUAGCCAAGUGCGGCGCGGAUAACCGCUGAAAGCAUCUAAGUGGGAAGCCCACCUCAAGAUGAGUGCUCUCAUGGAAUAAUCCAGUAAGGUCACAGGAAGAUUACCUGUUAAUAGGCGCAAGGUGGAAGUUCAGUAAUGAAUGUAGCCGAAGCGUACUAAUAGACCGAGGGCUUG